Molecule: ribosomal RNA, 424 nt
Filed under: uncultured bacterium
Lineage: Bacteria
Description: partial 16S ribosomal RNA
Rfam family: Bacterial small subunit ribosomal RNA
Source: RNAcentral
AAUUUUGGACAAUAGGGGAAACCCUGAUCCAGCCAUCCCGCGUGUAUGAUGAAGGCCUUCGGGUUGUAAAGUACUUUUGGCAGAGAAGAAAAGGUAUCUCCUAAUACGAGAUACUGCUGACGGUAGCUGCAGAAUAAGCACCGGCUACCUACGUGCCAGCAUACGCGGUAAAACGUAGGGUGCAAGCGUUAAUCGGAAUUACUGGGAGUAAAGCGUGUGUAGGCGGUGCGGAAAGAAAGAUGUGAAAUCACAGGGCUCAACAUUGGAACUGCAUUUUUAACUGCCGAGCUAGAGUAUGUCAGAGGGGGGUAGAAUUCCACGUGUAGCAGUGAAAUGCGUAGAGAUGUGGAGGAAUACCGAUGGCGAAGGUAGCCCCCUGGGAUAAUACUGACGCUCAGACACGAAAGCGUGGGGAGCAAACAGG